CAUCAAAUAACUUAAAGUAAGUUUAGAUCUUUUAAAUCUAAUAUAGUGCCUCACGUCCACUUUUGAUG
This 68-nucleotide transfer RNA is filed under the name Macrophthalmus darwinensis. RNAcentral describes it as "tRNA-Lys". The record is from RNAcentral. Lineage: Eukaryota; Metazoa; Arthropoda; Malacostraca; Decapoda; Macrophthalmidae.